This is a small nuclear RNA of Trichechus manatus latirostris (Florida manatee), 107 nucleotides long. Lineage: Eukaryota; Metazoa; Chordata; Mammalia; Sirenia; Trichechidae. The record is from RefSeq and is a predicted model, not a curated record.
GUACUUGCUUCUGCAGCGCAUAUACCCAAACUGGAACAAUACAGAGAAGAUUAACACGGCCCCUACACAAGGACGACACGUAAAUUCGUGAAGCGUUCCUUAAUUUU